Molecule: ribosomal RNA, 300 nt
Filed under: uncultured Clostridium sp.
Lineage: Bacteria; Bacillati; Bacillota; Clostridia; Eubacteriales; Clostridiaceae
Description: partial 16S ribosomal RNA
Rfam family: Bacterial small subunit ribosomal RNA (bases 52-300)
Source: RNAcentral
GGAAGGGAGGGGCAGGGAGGGGGGGGAAGACGGAGGGGGCGAGAGGUAUAAGGAAUUACGUGGCGUAAAGGGGGGUUAGGGGGGGUGUUAAGGCAGAUGUGAAAGCAUGUCGCGUAGCGAUAGAACUGGCAAAGAUACUGUAAGUCUUAAGUAUAAUAGAGGUAGCAGGAAUAAGUAGUGUAGCGGGGAAAUGCAUAGAUAUGACUUAGAACACCAAUUGAGAAGGCAGGUUACCAAGUUAUAACUGACGCUGAGGGACGAAAGCGUGGGGAGCGAACAGGAUUAGAUACCCCUGUAGUC